Molecule: long non-coding RNA, 514 nt
Filed under: Mytilus galloprovincialis (Mediterranean mussel)
Lineage: Eukaryota; Metazoa; Mollusca; Bivalvia; Mytilida; Mytilidae
Source: RNAcentral
GAAAUAAAUUGCAAACAUUUGAUAGUAUGACUAAACCUUUUCAUGUUAUUUAAACAUGAGAACUAUGCUUACUCCAUGCAUGCAUGGACGAAUGCAACUAACUAAGUCUGUUGUGUAACUCAAUGUAAGCAUGGACUUAGUUAAUGUUAGUUACCUUCGUCCAUGCAUGCAUGAACCAAGUCUGUUGUGUUAGUCCAUGCAAGCAUGGACUAAGUAAACUUUAGUUGCCUUCGUCCAUGCAUGCAUGGAAUAAGUAUUUUGUGUUAGUCCAUGCAAUCAUGGACUACUUUAACGUUAGUUGCCUUCGUCCAUGCAUGCAUGGAAUAAACUUAAUUAGUUCCGAGUUUUCAGGUUUACAUAACAUGAAAAGAUUUAGCCAUACUAUCAAGUGUGUGCAAUUAAUUUCUUAAUGUGAGAUAUAAUGCACAGUAUGUCUUUAAAUCAUAAUAAAUUGGUUGAAUAUGAAAAAAAUCAAUUUUUAAGAAAAAAUGAUAGUUACAUCAAAUUAAAAAAU